Molecule: ribosomal RNA, 2162 nt
Filed under: Didymium sp. PV64
Lineage: Eukaryota; Evosea; Eumycetozoa; Physariida; Didymiaceae
Description: SSU rRNA
Rfam family: Eukaryotic small subunit ribosomal RNA (bases 1-1932)
Source: RNAcentral
ACCUGGUUGAUCCUGCCAGUAGUGUAUGCUUCUCCUAAAGACUAAGCCAUGCAUGCCUCCGAAUAAGAAGAAGCAAUUCUCUCUGAAUCUGCGAACGGCUCCGCACACCAGUUGCAAACUAUAGCAAGCAAGCCCGUCGUUUACCGCAAGGUGGGCGGCGGGUAGAUGGAUAACCCUGGUAAUUCUGCGGCUAAUACAAGAACGCAAAGCCUCGCUGACUGGGUAACUGGAAGGCGGGGGGGCGUGCUCUUUAAGUUGCAAGUAUAACCGGGAAAGGGGGCACGUCAUGACCGCGCUAAAAAGGAAAGUUGGUUCACUCCUUCUCUCUAGCGGCUCUUGCUGUGUACUUCUGACCUAUCAACUAGAUGGCAGCGUAAGGGACAUGCUAUGGUUACAACGGGUACAGAGGAUUAGGGUUCGAUCCUGGAGAGUGGGCCUGAGAGAUUGCUCAUACUUCUAAGGAAGGCAGCAGGCGCGCAACGUUCCCAUUGGACAAUGUCUGAGGGCGUUAGGGGACAUAUGAAUGUCUGCCCAUUGGGUGGACAAUUCAAAUGGGUCUGUUGUAAACAGGCUCUCGAGUAACAAUUAGAGGACAAGUCUGGUGCCAGCACCCGCGGUAAUUCCAGCUCUAAUAGCAUACGUUAAAGUUGUUGCGGUUAAAACGCUCGUAGUCGGCUUAAGAUCGUCAGAAGCUUGAACCGGGAUCCUGGGUCUGUGUCCUUCGGGGCGCGCUGGGUGACUGGUGACGGUGGGCGGCGGUCAAGUGUGCUCUCUGCUGUACCUUCGGGUUCACAGGGCCGGGCGGUUCACUUCGGUGGGCCGUUCGGUUCGGCGGGGGGUGCCACUUACCAUGACCAAACCGGAGUGAUCGAAGCGGGUCUCACGACCUUGCACGGCACAGCAUGGAAUAGGUCUAGCCUCUCGGUUCGCCUUGCAAGCGGACCGGGGGGCAGAAGCGAUAGGGAUGUUCGAGGGUGACCGAAUUGUCGGGCGAGCGGUGAAAUGUGUUGACCCUGGCAAGUCGACCAAAGGCGAAAGCAGUCAUCAAGGGCAUACCCGUUGAUCAAGAGCGAAAGUUAAGGGCUCGAAGACGAUCAGAUACCGUCGUAGUCUUAACUAUAAAUGAUACUGACCAGGGAUAGGACUCUGUCCUUCUCGACUUCUCCUGGACCUUAGAGAAAUCAAAGUCUUUGAGUUCUGGGGGGAGUAUGGUCGCAAGGCUGAAACUUAAAGGAAUUGACGGAAGGGCACACAAAGAGUGGAACCUGCGGCUUAAUUUGACUCAACACGGGAAAACUCACCAGGUCCGGAUACGCGUAUGAAAGACAAGCUGAAAGACUUUUCUCAAUGACGUAAGUGGUGGUGCAUGGUCGUUCUUAGUUCGUGGAUUGAUUUGUCUGGUUUAUUCCGAUAACGAGCGAGACCCCAACGUUCCUAAUAGGAGCACCAGCCCGGCUCGACCGCUCCGGCGGACUUGCUAGCAGGUGUCUCUCUAGCUUCUUAGACGUAUCAGAGCCGAUAAGGUUCUUGAAAUGGGUUAAUAACAGGUCAGUCAUGCCCUUAGAUGUUCUGGGCCGCACGCGCGUUACAAUGGUAGCCAUCAGAAAGUGCCUGCAAAGGGUGUCUCCGUGGCCGAAAGGCUGCGGUAACCCAUAGUCGCUCCCUUGGCUGGGCCAGACUAUUGCAAUUAUUGGUCUCAAACGAGGAAUUUUUAGUAUACGCAGGUCAUUAACCUGCGCGGAAUGCGUCCCUGCCCUUUGUACACACCGCCCGUCGCUGCUACCGAUUGGGUUUUGCGGUUACGAGUUCGGAGGACCUGUCUCUCUGCCCUCACGGGUGGGUUGCAGGACCAAAGUUCUAAUUACCGCACGGCCUAGAGGAAGCAGAAGUCGUAACAAGGUAAUCGUAGGUGAACCUGCGUUUGGAUCAUUAACAACGUCAUACGGACUGACGUCAAAAACACCGUAGGGCUCUGAACGCUUCACUCCAGGGGUCAUGACCUAGGAGAGGCAAGCAAGUAAGGGACCGCCACGAAAGCCCCACUCCAGGGAUCAUGACCUGGGAGAGGCGGGCGAGUAGCGGACCCACUGGAAAAGACCUACUGGGAGACCUCCUCACGGGGGGGACUCAUGGGCACUAACCCGUAGGUGAACCUGCGGAAG